This 462-nucleotide ribosomal RNA is filed under the name uncultured bacterium. RNAcentral describes it as "bacterial SSU rRNA". It matches the Rfam family "Bacterial small subunit ribosomal RNA", at positions 355 to 825 of the family's 1533-position model. The record is from RNAcentral.
UAAGGAAUAUUGCGCAAUGGACGAAAGUCUGACGCAGCGACGCCGCGUGGGGGAUGAAGGUCUUCGGAUUGUAAACCCCUUUCGGGAGGGAAGAUGGAGUGGGUAACCACUUGGACGGUACCUCCAGAAGCAGCCACGGCUAACUUCGUGCCAGCAGCCGCGGUAAUACGAAGGUGGCAAGCGUUGUUCGGAUUCACUGGGCGUACAGGGAGCGUAGGCGGUUGGGUAAGCCCUCCGUGAAAUCUCCGGGCCUAACCCGGAAAGUGCAGAGGGGACUGCUCAGCUAGAGGAUGGGAGAGGAGCGCGGAAUUCCCGGUGUAGCGGUGAAAUGCGUAGAGAUCGGGAGGAAGGCCGGUGGCGAAGGCGGCGCUCUGGAACAUUUCUGACGCUGAGGCUCGAAAGCGUGGGGAGCAAACAGGAUUAGAUACCCUUGUAGUCCCUGAGCGGGCUGGCAAGGCGCAU